GUUUGAUCAUGGCUCAGAUUGAACGCUGGCGGCAGGCUUAACACAUGCAAGUCGAGCGGGGGAAGGUAGCUUGCUACUGGACCUAGCGGCGGACGGGUGAGUAAUGCUUAGGAAUCUGCCUAUUAGUGGGGGACAACAUCUCGAAAGGGAUGCUAAUACCGCAUACGUCCUACGGGAGAAAGCAGGGGAUCUUCGGACCUUGCGCUAAUAGAUGAGCCUAAGUCGGAUUAGCUAGUUGGUGGGGUAAAGGCCUACCAAGGCGACGAUCUGUAGCGGGUCUGAGAGGAUGAUCCGCCACACUGGGACUGAGACACGGCCCAGACUCCUACGGGAGGCAGCAGUGGGGAAUAUUGGACAAUGGGGGGAACCCUGAUCCAGCCAUGCCGCGUGUGUGAAGAAGGCCUUAUGGUUGUAAAGCACUUUAAGCGAGGAGGAGGCUACUUUAGUUAAUACCUAGAGAUAGUGGACGUUACUCGCAGAAUAAGCACCGGCUAACUCUGUGCCAGCAGCCGCGGUAAUACAGAGGGUGCGAGCGUUAAUCGGAUUUACUGGGCGUAAAGCGUGCGUAGGCGGCUUAUUAAGUCGGAUGUGAAAUCCCCGAGCUUAACUUGGGAAUUGCAUUCGAUACUGGUGAGCUAGAGUAUGGGAGAGGAUGGUAGAAUUCCAGGUGUAGCGGUGAAAUGCGUAGAGAUCUGGAGGAAUACCGAUGGCGAAGGCAGCCAUCUGGCCUAAUACUGACGCUGAGG
This 746-nucleotide ribosomal RNA is filed under the name Acinetobacter baumannii. RNAcentral's name for it is "bacterial SSU rRNA". It matches the Rfam family "Bacterial small subunit ribosomal RNA", at positions 11 to 751 of the family's 1533-position model. Lineage: Bacteria; Pseudomonadati; Pseudomonadota; Gammaproteobacteria; Moraxellales; Moraxellaceae. The record is from RNAcentral.